This is a long non-coding RNA of Rana temporaria (common frog), 1174 nucleotides long. RefSeq lists it as uncharacterized. The record is from RefSeq and is a predicted model, not a curated record. Lineage: Eukaryota; Metazoa; Chordata; Amphibia; Anura; Ranidae. The transcript is spliced from 5 exons.
AAAUACAGGGGUGUCUCUGACCAGGCAAGUUCCUGGGGGUGAUUACUGAGUGCUGUGGAUGGAACUUUUACUGUAAAACCAUAUUUGGACAACCUGCACAACUACUGUAAAAGGAAAGUCUAAGAAAAUAGAGGUCGUACGUAAGCUGCCUGUCUGUCACGUAUCUAUUUCUGUGACUUCAGUUGAACUUAAAAAUGUUGAUGGCACUUUUGGCUGCAUUUAAUUCAGAGAGUGUUCUAAACCACUAACCUCUUCCUUUCACAAGGAUACAACGUUUAUGUUAAAUGAUACAUAGCUGUGUAACAGCAAGCUCACUUUUGGAAAAGGAACAAAACUAACUGUUCAACCAGGUAAAAGGGAUCCUUCCACUCCCUCUGUAUUUCUGUUAACAUCUACAAAAGUCUCUUCAACAUCCUGCCUUGCAAAGGAUUUCUACCCCAAGGAUGUGGAGUUCUACAUCAAAUCCAACAAGUCAGAGGCCAGUACUGUUGAGGUGAAUCCGAUCCUGACUAACAAAGGCCUUUACAAUGCUGUCAUUGUAAAGAAUACACAAUCAACAGAGUGCCGAAUUAAACACCAAGGAAAAUGGGUGACAAGCCAGAAAAGUUUACUAGCCGAAGCGGAUCAUGACAUUCAAGCCACUGGAAUAGAAACUACUUAUGUCGAUGAUGAGAACUGCAUAGAACAACCUGCUGCAGUGACUGAUACUAAUAUUAAUUCUCUUUCUCUGACUGUGCUGGGAAUGAGAGUGCUGUUUAUCAAAUUAUUGGUCUUCAACUUUUUACUGAGUGUAACAGUGAUUUAUCUAUAAGAUACUAUACAAGAAGGAUGCUGUAUCUCAAGACCUUGUGUUUUUUUAGUAACAGUCUCAAGUCUGAUACUGUUUUAUAAAAAACAAAUCUUUGCUCAAUUCUUUUACUGCACUGUCUGCAUCCACAAUGUGUUAAAACAAACAAUAUAUAGGAGUUCAAACAUUAAAUGCAAGAACUAUAUAAUAUAAAUGAGCAAUAACUAAGAUCCUGUUAUGUAGGUAUUUGUUGUAUAUUAUGUUUGCUUAAAUUGUUCAUAUAUAUUUUCUUUAAUUGCAUUGCAUAUUUGCUUAAAUUGUUAAUAUAUAUUUUCUUUAAUUGUAUCACAUAUUUGCUUAAAUUGUUAAUAAAUAAUGAAUUGUGAA